UCUUGAAAGGGAGAGAUCAGUUGUUUUCCCCCAUUUCCCCACAUCUCCAUCCGCCUCACUCAUCUCUCGAACCACCAAUAGCUUUCGGAAACAAGCAGUAGUGGCACGCCAUCAGGAGCGGCCACCUUCAACAAAAACACCAGCAACUCUCUCAUCUCCUCUAACCUACAGCUGCCGGACCCCCUUCUCCAUGUUAUCACCACCAGAUUCUAGCCUUCUUCUGCCUAGAACACCUAGCUCCUCCACUUCCAAGCCAAAACAGACCAGCCACAACCCCUCAAUUUUUAAAAACUAACAACGCCUCUUAGAAAAAAAGGGAAUGGAAACACACACACACACUAAAAAGAAGAAUGAAAGAGACCUGAAAUUGGUACCUAAAACAGUCCCUAUAACCUACAUAAAACCAGCUCUAUUUUAUCUCAAAACAACCCCCGUAAUUUCUGAAAAUCAGCCAAAAACACAGCUUAAGCUUUUCCAAAAUGUAGCAGAAAAACAACCACAAAAUCCAUAGUGUGAACUCCAUUUUCCUUCGAGUUUUAGUUGCAUUCGAAUAACAACGUUCAAUGCGUCGAGGUCACUGUUGCAAAGUUCAAUUAAUAUCACGUUGUAGUCAAUUUGAUUUGAAUUUUUACGUUUGGAGCAUAUUCAGCAAAAGGUCCAUUUCUUUCCUCAUUUCAAUCAUUAUUUUAGCAAUUUUAGUUUUACUUCUGCUAUUUUUGUUUGUGAAAAAAUGUAUGUUAAGCUCUUUGCUGGGUAAUUUUAUAUGACUCUUUUGAAAUAUUAGAGUGUCGACUUGAUAAGUUUGCUCACCUUGUUGGAAGUUUGCUGGACAAGUUUUGGGUUAAAGACACCAUAUCUUGCUUGGGUAUUUUUUUUAGAUCGUAAAUUUGCUUCAAAUUAUGUGGGAGUUGGUAAUAUCAUUUACUAGAAGUUGUUUCAUAGACUUGAAAUCGUCUUAUUCCUACUUCUCAUAUUCACUUGGACUGUUUAACAAAUUGGACCUGGACAAAGUUGGGCCGUAUAAUAACUCACAUGAAACAUACAAUUAUUACAACCUUCCAUUCUGUCAUGCUUCUGAUUCUCACAAAUGGGGUGUCCUUGGUGAAGUUUUGGGUAGAAAUGAGCUUAUUUAUAGUCAAAUUGACAUAAGGUUUCAAAAUAUGGGAGAGAGAACGUUGCAAUUUGUGAUUCUAUUUUGUUCAAAAUUUGAAUAAGUUAAAUAACUCGUGAACACUGCUAAUAUACUUUUAGGCACACAUUUAAUCUAUUAUCAUGAUUGUGUACACGUUCACGUGACAUAAUUAUGAUUUCCAAAUUAAAUCCAGGUAUGCGUUCGUGCAACUUCGGCCAAAUAAUCUUAUAUUAACAAAGCUUUAUUAAUUGUGUACACGUACGCAUGACAUGAUUCAUGAAGCGUCGAACGAAAUGAGUACACGUACGCGUGACUCGUUUCAGGAUAAUUUCUUAAUUACGAGCGGUAAAGUUAAAAUGUACACAGGUUCUAAAAUGAGUAAUUAAACAAUUUAAUUAAGCCAGGUAUGUUUAAAGUGACCGUGCUAAAAUCGCAGAAUUCGGGAAUGCCUAACACCUUAUCCCGGGUUAACAGAAUUCCUUACCUGGUCUUCUAGUUUUGCGGACUUUAAAACAGAGUCAAAUUUUCUCGAUUUGGGAUUUAAAAUAAACUGGUGACUUGGGACACCAUAAAUUAUCCCAAGUGGCAACUCUGAAUCUAGUAAAUAAUCUCAUUUCGAUUAUUGUCAUUUUAAUUGGAAAAACUCCCAUAUCCCCUCAGGAAAAAGGAGGUGUGACAUCAACCAUCUAUUGUUGAUUUACCUUAAUUUUGGUCUAUAAUCUGCUACUUAUCACUUGAAACCUCUUAUGUAAUAUAUUGUCACUAGGGCUCAUGUCUCGUUAGGGAACAUCUAAAGUUAUUUGCCUGAUCCACCUAGGGGAGAUACUAUACUUCAAUAACUGUAUUUCUUGGUAUCCCAAUGUGAUUCACCUCAUGGGGGUAUUCUAAUCCUGUGCAAUUCAUGAAAUCCCUUUUCUUUGAAUCAUUAACCAAUCAAAGGCCUUAACGUUAUCCUCUUAUCUAUCACAAUUACACCAUUAUUCUACUAGCAGGGCAAUAUUUCAUCUCUUUAAAUUGCUCAUAGUCUCAGACUCCUCUGAGUUCAUUCAGGCUAUACUGCGCUUUCUAUAACUUACGGAAUUCAUCAACCCUCUUGUUUUGAUGGACUUAAUCCCGAGGUCUUGCCUAUUCUCAUCACCUUCUCGCCCAGAUUUUUCUUAUUCUUACUCUUGUCUACCUAAACAUUAUCACUCUAUCAUACUUUAGUUUGCGACCUACCCAUAUCUAUUUAUACUACUCACAACCAUCCUUUACCUUGCUAGCACCAUAGAUUUCCUUAUAUCACUUUGGAACCUCAAGCAAGACAUCACACUGUCUCUAUCUCUUCUUUACUCUCUUAACUAGACAUCUCGAUACCUGGAAACUAUAGGGUUGAAGAUAUGCUACUGACGACACUAGCAUCAUUUUUGGAUACUGAAUCACAGCUCUUCUAGUCCUCUACCUAAAAUAUGGACUAUUCACAACCUUUUGCACUUGAGUAUCUCGUACCUUAUUCACCUUUACCUUUCUUAUCUUUAAAUAACGCAUUGUAUCUUCUAUCACCUUCAUAACCUCCCUUCCACAUAGGUGGAAUUCACAUCCACACCUUAAAGACUUACUAUAAUUCUUGCACCUCUGAUGCACACAUAAUCUGGCAGGAGCUUCACACUAACUUCUUAUGAGGCUGGUACUCUUCUAACUAGCUUUAUCGUAGAGCUGUUAUAGAAUAUGACUACCUUACUAUCUCUCUUGUACCUCUGAUAUGAAGAGUAAUUUUACAAUGUUCUGAAUUAUGAUUUUUAUACUCAUCGGGGUCUGAUAACCAGACCCCUAAUUCACUUAGCUGAUGUAGCUCUUUGUUUCUUCUUCUAUCUCAGCCUUUAAGUAGGCUUACGCUAUCUUCUGAUCUGCGGCUCAGGGUAUUAGUUAUUACUUUAUCCCCCCGUGGAUGCUAUGGAACAUCCAGGAUAUAACCUUCUAGCAAUUCAAGCUUUUGUAUGUCACGUAGACUCAAUUCUUUCUUUCAACUUAUACUGAAGUCUCCUAUAGCUGUAUCAUUAUUAACAUAUAUGCCGCAUAUAUAACACUAUGAAAUCUUAAGUGUGUUCAUAACGUAACUAACUCUGGGUCAUAGAUCGAAUAAUUCCUUUCGUGCCUUCUUGAGGUUAAGUGACGGUGAUGGGUUUGAUUAUGGUCAGCUAUUAUGAUAAGAGAGGUUGUUAUGGGCAUAUAUGUGAUGUGUCAUGUCGUGUGGUUGUAUCCUGUGUGGGUAGGCAUAAGUUUUCGCAAUUGGUUGAGGCUAAUACUGUGUGUUGAUGUAGGAAUCAGACAUUUUGGAAAUGAUCGAGAGGUGAGAAAUUUGGUUCUAAGAUUAUCAGCAUGGGUGGAAGGAAUAAUUUUCAGUUAGGAUAGUGUCGUCGGGCCUAUGUGGAUUGUGGGUGACGUGGGAUCACAUGUGGGUGUAUGUAUGAUAGCUUACUCAGUGAUUUGAUGACUUCAGAAUGGUUCUUGGCACGUUCAAGGAUGAACGUUAGUUUACAAGGGGGAGGAUGUAACGACCCGGCCGAUUGUUUUAAGAAUUGGCGUCCUGUUCGGUGACUUAAGGUCUGGAGCAACUUCGUAUUAUAUGUUAUGACUUGUGUGUGUGGCUGAGUUCAGUUUUCGGAUGAUUCAAGGUCAAUUUGGAAGAAUGAUUCUUGUUUUAGAAGCUUAAGCAGUAAGAGUUGACCGGAAUUUGACUUUUGUGCAGACGACUUCGAAAUGGAGUUUUGAUGAUUCCAAUAGCUUCGUAUGGUGAUUUGGACUUAGGCGUGCAUCCGAAUUUGGAGGUCCGUAGGAUAAUUUGAAUCAUUUCGGCGAAAAUUGGAAAGUUGAAGUUUUAGAAGUUAAGAGGUUUGAUGAGACUUGACUUUGGUGAUAUCAGGGUCGGUAUGCAAUUUCGAGAGUUGGAUUAGCUUUGUUAUGUCAUUUGGAACUUGCAUGAAAAAUUUGACAUCAUUUCGGGUUUAUGUGACAUGUUUCGGCAUGAGUUUUUAAAGUUGGAAGAUUUAAAAGUUCAUAAGUUCGAUACGAGGUGCGAUUCAUAGUUUCUACGUUACUUGAUGUGAUUUAAGGCCUCGAGUAGGUUCGCGAUGUGUCACGACCCUAAAACGAACCCGAUCGUGAUGGCGCCUAUCGUGAAACUAGGCCAGCCGACACAAACCCCAAAACCAACCAAACAUUUAUAAUAAGUCAUUUAAAACCAUUAAUUAGCUAAAAUCCCAUAGAAUAAGGUAGAAUAAACAGUGCGGAAACAAAACACAGCCCAACAUCCGGGUGUCACCAGUCAUGAGCAACUACAACUCAUCUAGGAAUAAGAAAAGACAACAUAGUCUGAAAACAAAUACUAAAACAAAGCUAAAUAGGAUGGGAAGGAGAAGCGCUGGGCUGUGAACGCUAAGCAGCUACCUAGUCGACUCAGGAGACCUGCUGGAAAGCUGAUCAACACUCGCUANNNNNNNNNNNNNNNNNNNNNNNNNACAGCAUAACGCUACAACAAACAGUAUAAGUCCAAAACAAUGCGGUAAACCAAUAAAUUCGUAAAAACAUCUCAGCUCAGUAAAACCUUUUUAAAAAAUCUUUCAAUAGUUUCAAACUAGUGAUGAAAACAGUGAGAAAAGAAUAGAAACGUAAACAGCUCUCGGGCAAAAUAUCAAUAGAACCAGCCCCUCCGGCUAUCUCACAAUCACUCGUAAUUAGCCCAUCGGGCAAUAACAUGAAACAACGACAGCCCCUCGGGCAAUAUCACAUCUCACACUGGGUACCCGCGCUCACUGGGGGUGUUCAGACUACGGAGGGGCUCCUACAGCCCAAGCGCUAAAACAAACCAUCUCGUGGCAUAAUCAAACUGGCCCUCGGCCUCAUAACAAGUUACCCUUGGCAUAACAAAUCAGGCCCUCGGCAUCAAAAUCAUGAAUCAGUACAACUUGCUUCGGCACAUAGCCCGAUCCUAUAAUAUCCUCACACCACAUGCCCUCGGCCUCACUCAGUCAGCAAUCUCUCAAGCCACUCGAGAAACAGUAAAACAUGAUGUUUAACCCAAAAUAUCAUUUAAACAUCAAAACGGAGUAAAUAUGCCUGAGUUAUGAAAACAGUAGAAUGCAGAAUGACUGAAUACAAAGAUGAAGUCAAAACAGUGAGGAAUAGUAGUAAAAAUCCCAUAAGGGUCCAAAACAAUUGGCACGAGGCCCAAAUAUGGCAUUCGGCCCAAAAUAUGGUAAUACUUUUCAAAACACAAUGAUAUCAAACAGUUUUCAAUCAAAUACGCGACUUAAUAGUCAUACGAGACCGACUAGGUCACAAUCCCAAUGGUGCACGACCCCACGCCGGUCAUCUAGCACGUGUGUCACCUCAAAAUAGCANNNNNNNNNNNNNNNNNNNNNNNNNNNNNNNNNNNNNNNNNNNNNNNNNNNNNNNNNNNNNNNNNNNNNNNNNNNNNNNNNNNNNNNNNNNNNNNNNNNNNNNNNNNNNNNNNNNNNNNNNNNNNNNNNNNNNNNNNNNNNNNNNNNNNNNNAUUACUUACCUCAAUCCGGUCCAAACUCUAGCCCGCGAUUCCUUUGCCUCUCGACUCGGCCUCUGGAUGCUCCAAAUCUAGCCAUAAAUAGAUUCAUACCAUCAAAAUAUGCUAAGGGAACAAAACCCACUCGAAAAUAACCAAUUUACAUCAAAAAUGCCGAAAUUGGUCAAACCAGAACCCCAGUCCCACGUCUCGGAUUCUGAUAAACUAGAAUCCUUACACUCUCACGAGUUCAUACAUACCAAAUACAUCAAAAUGAGACCACAAACGACCCCUAAAAUCCCUAGAUCAAGGUCUCUAAUUCCAAGCCCUAUCUCUCUAAUGUUAAUCCUUAAUUUCCAUAAAUUUCAAGCCUAAUCAGUGAAAUAACACCAUAAAAACGAGUUUUAGUUCCAAGAAUCUUACCUCCAUGAAUUUCCCUUGAAUUCCCUCUUCAAAAUCUCCCAAAAAGCUCCAAUCCCGGAUAAAAAUGGUGGAAACAACUCAAAUUUCGUGAAGGCCAUUAUUUAUAUGCUCUGCCCCAGUAAUACCGCAUCUGCGGUCAAAACUCUCGCACCUGCGGAAAUCACUUAUCCACCCCAAGUCUCCACAUUUGCGGCUCCAGUCCUUUUCCACUUUGGCUGCAUUUGCGACGCCUUUUCCGCUUUUGCGAGCCCUCACCUACGGUUCCAUAUCCGCAGGUGCGGUUAUGACAGGAACUUUAGCAGCUGAAACAUGUUCAAACUCAACUCCAAUAUUUCCGACAACCUCUAGAAAUCAUCCCGAGGCCCCCGGGACCUCAAUCAAAAGUACAAACAAGUCACAUACAACUAUUCAAACUUGUAACAACCUUCGGAACACUCAAAACAACGUCGGAACACCAAAUCAUCAUCGGAUUCAAGCCUAAGAAGUUCCAAAACUUCCAAAUUUCGGCUUUCGAUCAAAAAGUCUAUCCAACCUCAUUCGAAUGACCUGAAAUUUUGCACACACGCCCCAAAUGACACAACGGUCCUACUCCAACUUCCGAAAUCCUAUUCCGACCCCUAUAUCAAAAUCUCCGCUGCCAAUCGGAAAACGCCAAAAUUCCAAUUUCAGCAAUUCAAGCCUAAAUAUCUAUUCUAGACCUCCAAAACAUAUUCCGAUCAUGCUCCCAAGUCCCAAAUCACCUCACAAGCUAUCCGAAUCAUAAAAACUAAAUUCCUAGAUCAUUUACUCACAAGUCAACUUUCGAUUAACUUUUCCAACUAAAAGGCCAACUUAAGAGACUAAAUGUCCCAGUUCUUUACAAAACCACUCCGAACACAAACUAACCAAUGCGAUGCAAUGAAAUACAGCUGAACAACAUAUAAAGAAGCAGAAAUGGGAGAAACGAAGCGGUAACUCAUGAAACGACUGGCUGGGUCAUUACACGAUGUGUUAUGGAACUUAUUGUUAUAUUUGAAUGGUGUCCCGACUGGCUCGAAUGAGUUUGGAUGUGUUUUGGAUCGUUUUGGAAAUUUUGUUAAGGCUGGUUUUGGCAGUCACUGAUGCCAUCGCACAUGUGAUGUAUUUGGUCGUAGGUGUGCAACCGCAUAGGCGAAGUAGUGGUUGCAGAAGCGAAUUGGCAGGAUCAGGGCAGUGGUCGCAGGUGCGAAGUAUUUCCCUCACCUCCGUGAUCACAGAUGCGUACUAUGGAUCACAAAAGUGAGGUGUCUUGCAGAAGCGGAUUUUUGGCCUCCGACCUGCGACGUCGCAGAAGCGAACUUUUUUGCAGGUGCGAGGGUCAGUUGGACAGUGUACUCCACAAAUGCAGGAGUUUUCUCACAAAAGCAAGCUCGCAGGCGCGGAUAAUGUUUCACAUGUGCAAAUCCGGGUAGAAUGUUAAGGAUCAAAAUUGGUCAUUUUCUUCAUUUUGUUUUGAGUUGUGAACCUCGGUUUUGGGAGAUUCUUCGUGGGCUUUCAAGAAAUUCAUUGGGGGAAGCGUUUUCUACCCGAAUCUUAUUAUAUUUCAUGAAUCCAUUUCUAUUUUCAUCAUUUAAUUAGUGAAUCUAAUUGAAAUUCUGGGAAAAUUUUCAAAAUGUAAAAUGAGGAUUUGAAGGACGAAAUGAUGUCAGAAAUUGAUAAUUUUGGUAUGGUUGAACUCGUAUCAGAAUGGGUGUUUGGGUUUUGUAAAUUUUAUCAGGUUCUGAGGUGCGGGCCUGGGGUUUGACUUUUGGGUACACUUUUUAGUUUUAAUUAAAAAUCAAAGCUUUAUUAUCUAAAAUUAUAUCCUAUGAGUUUAACUUAUGAUUUGAAGUUAUUUUGGCUAUGUUAUGACUCGGCCGGUUGUUUUGAGAGUUGUAGCCUCGUUUCCCCAUUUACUGUUCAUUGUCUGCUUAAUUGUUGUUACAUUAAUUGCUGGGGUAGUUUAUUCGAUUCUGAGGAUGUUUCAGAAUGAGAUGAGAAAUUGAGUCUCAAGGUUGGAAGCUUAAGUUGAAAAGGUUGACCAGAUAUUGACUUAUAUGUAAAUGACUUUGGAAUGGAGUUUUGAGGGUUCCGAUAGCUCCGUUAGGUGAUUUUGAACUUAGAAGUGUGUCUGAAUAGUGAUUUGAAGGUUUGUAGUUGAAUUAGGCUUGAAAUGACAAAAGUUUAAAAUUUAGAAGUUUGUCCGAGAGUUGACUUUUUGGUUACCGGGCUUGGAUUGUGGUUCUGGGAGUUGGAGUAGAUUUGUUUUAUCAUUUUUGACUUGUGUGCAAAAUAUGAGGUCAAUCGGACGUGAUUUGUUAGGUUUCGGCAUCGAAUGUAGAAGUUAGAAGUUCAAAGUUCAUUAGGCUUGAAUUGAGGUGCAAUUUGUGGUUUGAUGUUGUUUGAUGUGAUUUGAGGGCUAGAAUAAGUUCGUAUCGUGUUAUAGGACUUGUUGGUAUGUUUUGUUGUGGUCCUGGGGGCCUCGGGUAGAGUUUGGAUGGUUAAUGGAUCGAGUUUGGAACUAGAAAGACUGUUGAAUCUCACCAGGUCUGGUGCAAUCGCACCUGCGGAGUUUUCAUUGCAAGUGCAAGCAAGGGAGCGCAUAUGCGACCUGGAAAGUAGUGUGAAGUGGUCGCAGGUGCGAGGGUAUUUUCGCACUUGCGUGGUCGCAGAUGCGGAGUGCAUGUGGCAGCUAUUUCCGCAGAAGCGGACGAGGCCUCGCAGAAGCGCAACCGCAGCUUGGGGGGAAGUUGGCCGCAUGUGCGCAUGGUCGGAGGUCGAGUGGGCAUUGCAGAAGCAAAAUGUAGUCGCACCUGCAGGACCGCAGAUGCGGGUAAGUUGUUCGCAGAAGCGAAAACCCCUGCACAGAACAUUAAAUUCGAAGGGUUCGUGAUUUUGCUCAUUUUAGACUUUGUAAACUCGGUCUAAGGCGAGUUUUGAGAGGAUUCUCGAGGGGUUUCUUGAGGUAAGUCACUUCUGGUCAUUUUUAUUUGAUAAUUUUAUUUCCUAUUGAGAUUCCCACCUAGUUUGCGUGUUUUUGAGAUGUAAUUUUGGGAGUUUGAGUCUAGGGGUUUGGACAGUUUAAUUAGGGAUUUGAGUGAUGAUUUGGUGUUGGAUUUUGGUAAAUUUGGUAUGGUUGGACUCAUGGUUGAAUGAGCUUUCAAAUUUUGUAACUUUUAUUGGAUUUGAGAUGUGGGAUCGGGGGUUGACUUUUGAGGUGACUUUUUGACUUUUGGUUAAGAACUUAGCAUUUUUAUAUGGAAUUGAUUCCUAUACUUGAGUUGAUUGUGUCGAAUUGUUUAUAGCUAGAUCCAAGGUAUUCGGAGGUCGAUUUGUGAGGCAAGGGCUUGCUAGCAGAGUGAUUCGAUUUGCAUGAGGUAAGUAUCGUAUUAAAAGUGGGUUGAGGCACCAGUCGCUUGAAUUGUUGUGAUAGCCACGUGCUUUUGGGUGCGCACAUGCGUGACGAUGAUCCUACAUGUGGCAACUGAGAUUGUAUAAUCAUGUUUGGGUUGUGACUGGGCUCUUAUAAGCCCAAAAAUGACUAUUGAGCUUCAAGGUUUGAUAUCUAACAUGUUGUAACGGUUUAUAUGAUCUAGUUGAGCCAUGAUGAGACUACUUAGAGGUUUAAUCCCUAAAAGAACUUGAUAGAUGCUUUUCAUUGAUGAAAUUGCUAGUUUGGACUACGAUAGCACACUUUGCGCAUGCCUACACUUUAGCAUGUUAUUUACACCAGUCCUGAGAUAUGAGAAUCUUAUUUCAUUCAUCUUAUACCUGUAUACUUGCUUCUUUGCUUCUAUAUGAUAUUUUGGACUGGCUUGCGGCUAUGCCGGGCUGAUUAUAUUAUUGGCAUGUGAGUUAUCCGUGUGGAUCCAUAUAUUGAUAUUAUUGACACGUGAGUUGUUCAUGUAGCACGUGAGUUAUCCAUGCAGGUUUUAUUGAUAGCAUGUGAGUUGUCCGUACAGUGUGUGAAACUUGUAUUUCCUUGAUCAUUUAUCUGAUUUACUUGUUUCUUCCCUUUAUAUUGUAUAGUAUUUGAGCAGGGCAUUUGAGAAAUAGUGCACAUGCACACACGGAUAUUCUUCUCACGAGGCCUUGUGAGUUAACUUUAAAUAUUGGGAUGUGUUGGUCUAGAAGGGCAGAAUUACACUUAAACAGCUGUCAUCCUUAAUGAUUUAAGCUUCUCUUACCUUGCCUUGUUUAUUUGCGAUACUUAUUGAGUUGGUUGUACUCUGACUACACCCUGCACCUCGUGUGCAGAUUCAGGCAUUUCUGGGCACGGUGGUUGUUAAUUGUGAAGUCUUACAUGUCCCGAGAUCAUCGAGGUAGCUGCUUGGGCGUUCGCAAACCUUGACUCUAGUUUCCUUAUCUUUCAGUUUUAUUUAUUUAGUCCUACUUUCUAAAUAGUGUAUCAGGCUAUGUCAUUGUAUAUAUAUUCCCAUGUACUCAGUGACACCCAGGUUUUGGGGAUUUCUGUAUUGAGUUGUGACGUUUCAUCUCAUUUUUAUGAGAUUUUCAUUUAUUUACACUUGUUUUGGUAUA
This 10607-nucleotide long non-coding RNA is filed under the name Nicotiana tabacum (common tobacco). Its description in RNAcentral is "long non-coding RNA (NTAB_LNC004074)". Lineage: Eukaryota; Viridiplantae; Streptophyta; Magnoliopsida; Solanales; Solanaceae. The record is from RNAcentral.